UACGUAGGGGGCUAGCGUUGUCCGGAAUCAUUGGGCGUAAAGCGCGUGUAGGCGGCCCGGUAAGUCCGCUGUGAAAGUCGAGGGCUCAACCCUCGAAAGCCGGUGGAUACUGUCGGGCUCGAGUGCGGGAGAGGCGAGUGGAAUUCCUGGUGUAGCGGUGAAAUGCGCAGAUAUCAGGAGGAACACCGAUUGCGAAGGCAGCUCGCUGGAACGUAACUGACGCUGAGACGCGAAAGCGUGGGGAGCGAACAGG
This 253-nucleotide ribosomal RNA is filed under the name uncultured bacterium. RNAcentral's name for it is "partial 16S ribosomal RNA". It matches the Rfam family "Bacterial small subunit ribosomal RNA", at positions 524 to 776 of the family's 1533-position model. The record is from RNAcentral.